AGCGGCAACAGCUCAAAUUUGAAAUCUGGCGCAAGCCCGAGUUGUAAUUUGUAGAGGAUGCUUCUGGGUAGCGACCGAUCUAAGUUCCUUGGAACAGGACGUCAUAGAGGGUGAGAAUCCCGUAUGUGACCGGCCCGCACCCUUUACGUAGCUCCUUCGACGAGUCGAGUUGUUUGGGAAUGCAGCUCUAAAUGGGAGGUAAAUUUCUUCUAAAGCUAAAUACCGGCCAGAGACCGAUAGCGCACAAGUAGAGUGAUCGAAAGAUGAAAAGUACUUUGGAAAGAGAGUUAAAAAGCACGUGAAAUUGUUGAAAGGGAAGCGCCUGCAACCAGACUUCGUGGCAGUGUUCCGCCGGUCUUCUGACCGGUUUAUUCUCUGUCGCGAGGCCAUCAUCGUCUAGGCCCGCCGGAUAAGACCUUAGGAAUGUAGCUCACCUUCGGGGGAGUGUUAUAGCUUAUGGUGAUGCGGCGAGGCUUGGGCGAGGUCCGCGCUUCGGCAAGGAUGAUGGCGUAAUGGUUGUCGGCGGCCCGUCUUGAAACACGGACCAAGGAGUCUAACAUCUAUGCGAGUGUUCGGGUGUCAAACCCCUACGCGUAAUGAAAGUGAACGGAGGUGGGAACCGCAAGGUGCACCAUCGACCGAUCCUGAUGUCCUCGGAUGGAUUUGAGUAAGAGCAUAGCUGUUGGGACCCGAAAGAUGGUGAACUAUGCCUGAAUAGGGUGAAGCCAGAGGAAACUCUGGUGGAGGCUCGCAGCGGUUCUGACGUGCAAAUCGAUCGUCAAAUUUGGGUAUAGGG
This 796-nucleotide ribosomal RNA is filed under the name Septoria protearum. RNAcentral's name for it is "eukaryotic LSU rRNA". It matches the Rfam family "Eukaryotic large subunit ribosomal RNA", at positions 97 to 922 of the family's 3401-position model. Lineage: Eukaryota; Fungi; Ascomycota; Dothideomycetes; Mycosphaerellales; Mycosphaerellaceae. RNAcentral also lists the same sequence under 1 other name. The record is from RNAcentral.